GGUGCGGCUGCUGCCCUCCGGGGUGCCCCCGGCACCCCCCCCACCUCAAGCCCGCGGCAGGCAGGCGCGGGAAUUUGUGCGUGCAGGCUGUAACAGACAUGCUGUGCGAUGCGUGGUGCUCUAUUGAGUUCUAAUGCUGGAUGCUGCCAUGAAGAAGUCAGAGGCCAGCCUGAUAUGCCCCCACUUGCUCCAUGUAAGGUGCUGGGGACAGAGAGGUGAACGAGAACGAGACAUUCAAGACAUCUGCCCCAUGGAGUGUACGUUCCAGGUGGGGGAAAUAGACAAAAAAGAAGCUGUACUGAAUAUUUGCUCUUCGCCCAAUGACCUUUAAAAUUUCUUUCUACAUUUUGAUUAUUCCGGAUAUCUUGAGUUCCUCCUUCCCAAAGCAGAAGCCUGCCUCUCUUGAAGCGAAGGUGCAGGCAUGUGACCUACUUCCCUCCAAUCGCACUCACCGAUCGAUCUGAGAUACCAAUGGUGGGGCGUGGGGGGGGGCAGUGAGCUCUGUGUGGGGCCAGCUGCAUGCUAGCCUGGG
Molecule: long non-coding RNA, 532 nt
Organism: Prionailurus viverrinus (fishing cat)
Lineage: Eukaryota; Metazoa; Chordata; Mammalia; Carnivora; Felidae
Exons: 3
Source: RefSeq, a predicted model, not a curated record